This 372-nucleotide ribosomal RNA is filed under the name uncultured organism. RNAcentral describes it as "bacterial SSU rRNA". It matches the Rfam family "Bacterial small subunit ribosomal RNA", at positions 526 to 896 of the family's 1533-position model. The record is from RNAcentral.
CAGAGGUGGCAAGCGUUGUUCGGAAUUACUGGGCGUAAAGGGCGCGUAGGCGGCCUUGUGAGUCAGACGUGAAAUCCCCAGGCUUAACUUGGGAACUGCGUCUGAUACUGCAAGGCUCGAGUGAGGGAGAGGGAUGUGGAAUUCCAGGUGUAGCGGUGAAAUGCGUAGAUAUCUGGAGGAACACCGGUGGCGAAGGCGGCAUCCUGGACCGACACUGACGCUGAGGCGCGAAAGCUAGGGGAGCAAACGGGAUUAGAUACCCCGGUAGUCCUAGCCCUAAACGAUGAGUGCUUGGUGUGGCGGGUAUCGAUCCCUGCCGUGCCGAAGCUAACGCAUUAAGCACUCCGCCUGGGGAGUACGGUCGCAAGGCUG